Molecule: ribosomal RNA, 257 nt
Filed under: uncultured bacterium
Lineage: Bacteria
Description: partial 16S ribosomal RNA
Rfam family: Bacterial small subunit ribosomal RNA
Source: RNAcentral
UACGUAGGGGGGCAAGCGUUUGUCCGGAUUUAUUGGGCGUAAAGAGCGUGUAGGCGGUUCGGUAGGUCCGUUGUGAAAACUCGAGGCUCAACCUCGAGACGCCGAUGGAAACCAUCGAACUAGAGUCCGGAAGAGGAGAGUGGAAUUCCUGGUGUAGCGGUGAAAUGCGCAGAUAUCAGGAAGAACACCCGUGGCUAAGGCGGCUCUCUAGUACGGUACUGACGCUGAGACGCGAAAAGCGUGGGGGAGCGAACAGG